Long non-coding RNA from Astyanax mexicanus (Mexican tetra), 353 nucleotides. RefSeq lists it as uncharacterized. The record is from RefSeq and is a predicted model, not a curated record. The transcript is spliced from 4 exons. Lineage: Eukaryota; Metazoa; Chordata; Actinopteri; Characiformes; Acestrorhamphidae.
GUUUGAGGACGCUAGGUGAUGGGAAGUUGAGGAGGUUAGGUAAGUGGUUUGAGGACGCUAGGUGAUGGGAAGUUGAGGAGGUUAGGUAAGUGGUUUGAGGAUACUAGGUGAUGGGAAGUUAAGGAGGUUUGGUAAGUGGUUUGAGGACGCUAGGUGAUGGGAAGUUGAGGAGGUUAGGUAAGUGGUUUGAGGACGCUAGGUGAUGGGAAGUUGAGGAGGUUAGGUAAGUGGUUUGAGGAUACUAGGUGAUGGGAAGUUGAGGAGGUUAGGUAAGUGGUUUGAGGAUACUAGGUGAUGGGAAGUUGAGGAGGUUAGGUAAGUGGUUUGAGGACGCUAGGUGAUGGGAAGUUGAG